This is a long non-coding RNA of Pseudophryne corroboree (corroboree frog), 924 nucleotides long. RefSeq lists it as uncharacterized. Lineage: Eukaryota; Metazoa; Chordata; Amphibia; Anura; Myobatrachidae. The transcript is spliced from 4 exons. The record is from RefSeq and is a predicted model, not a curated record.
CAACGACCUCCCCCGCCCCCUGCAUGACGGCACUGGCAGCUCGCGUCACGGGGCAGGGUCACCUGACCGGAAGCGCUGAGUCCGGAAGCCGGGCAGCGGCGAGGAGGAGACGGCUGGAGGCGUCUGGCUCAAGGAUGGAAUCUAUUCCUCAAAGAUGUGCUGCGGAUCCCUUGUGGCGUGAUAUAAAUAAAGGAUAAUAAUAAAAUUCAAUAGCAGAGACGUUUUUAUCAGUGGAAUAAAACAAGCCAAAGCACCUUUAAACAAUGAAACAUUUACUGAAUAUUGAAUGCAAAUGGCUUCAUGUUUCAACCAGCCAAAGAAUCCACAUUUUUCAGUCCCUGAAGUCUAAAUUACAACAAACUUUCCAACAUCUAAGCCAAUGUACCAUGUGCUCCCAAACUCACAGCAAGACAUGGAUCCGAAUUUGCCAUCUGUCUACUCAUGUGAUGUGUGAGGACAAUGAUGCAUAUGGCACAAGCAGUGUCAUGUUGCAAAUAGAGAAGCAAGAAGAAAGCCACAGACUGAGAGCUAUAUAGUAAAGCUAUAUAGUAAUGUAGGGUGGGGUGAGGCAGAGCCUUUACUGUCAUACUAACAUUUGUGCCAGAGUUUCUACUGUAUAAAGUAUAUGAAAUAUCUACUUUGUAUUAUUCUAAUAAUUUUUAUAGCCAAAACUCUGGAGUAAAAAGUCUAUGGCCGGUGAGGCAGUGCCCCCCCUGCUUAUCUUUUCAUCACAUCUCUGAUCAAAACUCACCAAAUUUCCAGGAGUUUAUACUGCUGCUUCUGUGUAUAAUGCCGACAUGUACCCUUUGGCUUAUAUAUUGCGGGUAAAUCUGGCUCUGGUACUAGCCAGUGCCUCCUGAGCCAUUUACCUCACUGCACGUCCUUGGUAGAAGGUGCAUGGUCCCCAACAUGUUAUGCUUCUUU